ACGGAAGGCAGCAGUGGGGAAUAUUGCACAAUGGGGGAAACCCUGAUGCAGCGACGCCGCGUGAGCGAAGAAGUAUUUCGGUAUGUAAAGCUCUAUCAGCAGGGAAGAAAAUGACGGUACCUGACUAAGAAGCUCCGGCUAAAUACGUGCCAGCAGCCGCGGUAAUACGUAUGGAGCAAGCGUUAUCCGGAUUUACUGGGUGUAAAGGGAGCGUAGACGGCGUAUCAAGUCUGAUGUGAAAGGCCAGGGCUCAACUCUGGGACUGCAUUGGAAACUGGUAUGCUUGAGUGCCGGAGAGGUAAGCGGAAUUCCUAGUGUAGCGGUGAAAUGCGUAGAUAUUAGGAGGAACACCAGUGGCGAAGGCGGCUUACUGGACGGUAACUGACGUUGAGGCUCGAAAGCGUGGGGAGCAAACAGGAUUAGAUACCCUGGUA
This 434-nucleotide ribosomal RNA is filed under the name uncultured Lachnospiraceae bacterium. RNAcentral describes it as "bacterial SSU rRNA". It matches the Rfam family "Bacterial small subunit ribosomal RNA", at positions 341 to 792 of the family's 1533-position model. The record is from RNAcentral. Lineage: Bacteria; Bacillati; Bacillota; Clostridia; Lachnospirales; Lachnospiraceae.